RNAcentral lists this ribosomal RNA (628 nucleotides) under uncultured beta proteobacterium. RNAcentral's name for it is "bacterial SSU rRNA". It matches the Rfam family "Bacterial small subunit ribosomal RNA", at positions 8 to 635 of the family's 1533-position model. Lineage: Bacteria; Pseudomonadati; Pseudomonadota; Betaproteobacteria. The record is from RNAcentral.
AGAGUUUGAUCCUGGCUCMSNWUGAACGCUGGCGGAAUGCUUUACACAUGCAAGUCGAACGGUAGAGGGGGCAACCCCUUGAGAGUGGCGAACGGGUGAGUAAUAUAUCGGAACGUGCCCAGUCGUGGGGGAUAACGUAGCGAAAGUUACGCUAAUACCGCAUACGAUCUAAGGAUGAAAGCGGGGGAUCGCAAGACCUCGCGCGAUUGGAGCGGCCGAUAUCAGAUUAGGUAGUUGGUGGGGUAAAGGCUCACCAAGCCAACGAUCUGUAGCUGGUCUGAGAGGACGACCAGCCACACUGGAACUGAGACACGGUCCAGACUCCUACGGGAGGCAGCAGUGGGGAAUUUUGGACAAUGGACGAAAGUCUGAUCCAGCCAUUCCGCGUGCAGGAUGAAGGCCCUCGGGUUGUAAACUGCUUUUGUACGGAACGAAAAGGUUUCUAUUAAUACUAGGAGCUCAUGACGGUACCGUAAGAAUAAGCACCGGCUAACUACGUGCCAGCAGCCGCGGUAAUACGUAGGGUGCAAGCGUUAAUCGGAAUUACUGGGCGUAAAGCGUGCGCAGGCGGUUAUAUAAGACAGAUGUGAAAUCCCCGGGCUCAACCUGGGAACUGCAUUUGUGACUG